Molecule: long non-coding RNA, 336 nt
Organism: Lagopus leucura (white-tailed ptarmigan)
Lineage: Eukaryota; Metazoa; Chordata; Aves; Galliformes; Phasianidae
Exons: 3
Source: RefSeq, a predicted model, not a curated record
AUGGUUUUCCAGGGUGUGUCAGUCUCAAUGCAGUGUUCUGCAGUGAGGAAAUGCCAUGUUUGGAGUGAAUGCCAUUUGCUUCCCAUCUCUGUAGAAAGAGAUCUGCCACUGAUGCAGGCAGAGUACAGGUUGUUGUCCUAUAAAGCUGUUCAAGUUCCUCUCUUCGUCAGAACAUCUUCCUGCUAUCCCUGCUGCCCAUAAACAUUAUGUUAGAUCGAGAAGAAGGGAUACACACCUUCCAGCCUCAGGAUACAGCAGUGAAGGUCUGAUUGCGCUGAUCUGAUCUACGUCAGAACAGAGAGGCUUCUUUGGAGCAGUCACCCUCUUCUCCAUGCC